AGCAGCCGCGGUAAUUCCAGCUCCAAUAGCGUAUAUUAAAGUUGUUGCAGUUAAAAGCUCGUAGUUGAAUUUCGGGAUCAAUUUACUGGUCGUGCUAUUGUACGUACUGGUUUUACUGAUUCCUCUCUUCUGAAGAACUAUGAUGUCAUUAAUUUGGUGUCAUAGGGAAUCAGGACUGUUACUUUGAAAAAUUAGAGUGUUUAAAGCAGGCUCACGCUUGAAUACAUUAGCAUGGAAUAACGAAAUAGGACGUUUGAUUCUAUUUUGUUGGUUUCUAGGAUCGACGUAAUGAUUAAUAGGGAUAGUUGGGGGCAUUAGUAUUCAAUUGUCAGAGGUGAAAAUUCUUGGAUUUAUUGAAGACUAACUACUGCGAAAAGCAUUUGCCAAGGAUGUUUUCAUUAAUCAAGAACGAAAGUUAGGGGGAUCGAAGACGAUCAGAUACCGUCGUAGUCUUAACCAUAAAACUAUGCCGACUAGGGGAUCGG
This 485-nucleotide ribosomal RNA is filed under the name uncultured Glomus. Its description in RNAcentral is "SSU rRNA". It matches the Rfam family "Eukaryotic small subunit ribosomal RNA", at positions 569 to 1057 of the family's 1831-position model. Lineage: Eukaryota; Fungi; Glomeromycota; Glomeromycetes; Glomerales; Glomeraceae. The record is from RNAcentral.